GUCCUACGGGAGGCAGCAGUGAGGAAUAUUGGUCAAUGGGAGAGAUCCUGAACCAGCCAAGCCGCGUGAGGGAAGACGGCCCUACGGGUUGUAAACCUCUUUUGUCGGGGAGCAAAGCGAACCACGUGUGGUUCAUUGAGAGUACCCGAAGAAAAAGCAUCGGCUAACUCCGUGCCAGCAGCCGCGGUAAUACGGAGGAUGCGAGCGUUAUCCGGAUUUAUUGGGUUUAAAGGGUGCGCAGGCGGAGGUGCAAGUCAGCGGUCAAAUUGCGGGGCUCAACCCCGUACUGCCGUUGAAACUGCAUC
Molecule: ribosomal RNA, 305 nt
Filed under: uncultured bacterium
Lineage: Bacteria
Description: bacterial SSU rRNA
Rfam family: Bacterial small subunit ribosomal RNA
Source: RNAcentral